This 210-nucleotide long non-coding RNA is filed under the name Nicotiana benthamiana. Its description in RNAcentral is "long non-coding RNA (NBEN_LNC029118)". The record is from RNAcentral. Lineage: Eukaryota; Viridiplantae; Streptophyta; Magnoliopsida; Solanales; Solanaceae.
CUUAAAUGGGAUAUAUUGGGUCCAUGACCCAAAACCAAUUGCAACGGGGAAUAUUUGUGUCAAUUCGUCAGUCAGAGACGAACUAAGCAUUGCUGUAUGUAAAAUAGCGUGUCCCCAAACCGAAGUGGGCAGCCGACAAACUAAAAUACUGCAUGCAAAAUGGCAUGAACCCAAACCAAAGUGGGCAGCCGACGAACUAGCAUUGCUGCA